AGUGAACGCUGGCGGUAGGCCUAACACAUGCAAGUCGAACGGCAGCACAGUAAGAGCUUGCUCUUACGGGUGGCGAGUGGCGGAAGGGUGAGGAAUACAUCGGAAUCUACUUUUUCGUGGGGGAUAACGUAGGGAAACUUACGCUAAUAUCGCAUAAGACCUACGGGUGAAAGCAGGGGAUCUUCGGACCUUGCGCGAUUGAAUGAGCCGAUGUCGGAUUAGCUAGUUGGCGGGGUAAAGGCCCACCAAGGCGACGAUCCGUAGCUGGUCUGAGAGGAUGAUCAGCCACACUGGAACUGAGACACGGUCCAUACUCCUACGGGAGGCAGCAGUGGGGAAUAUUGGACAAUGGGCGCAAGCCUGAUCCAGCCAUACCGCGUGGGUGAAGAAGGCCUUCGGGUUGUAAAGCCCUUUUGUUGGGAAAGAAAAGCAGCAGGUUAAUACCCCGCUGUUCUGACGGUACCCAAAGAAUAAGCACCGGCUAACUUCGUG
RNAcentral lists this ribosomal RNA (492 nucleotides) under uncultured bacterium. RNAcentral describes it as "partial 16S ribosomal RNA". It matches the Rfam family "Bacterial small subunit ribosomal RNA", at positions 29 to 507 of the family's 1533-position model. The record is from RNAcentral.